UACAGAGGUCCCAAGCGUUGUUCGGAUUCACUGGGCGUAAAGGGUGCGCAGGUGGUUUGGCAAGUUUGACGUGAAAGCCCCGGGCUUAACCCGGGAAUGGCGUUUGGGACUGGAAGGCUGGAGUACGGCAGAGGGAGGUGGAAUUCCACGUGUAGCAGUGAAAUGCGUAGAGAUGUGGAGGAACACCGAUGGCGAAGGCAAUCCCCUGGGCCUGCACUGACGCUCAUGCACGAAAGCGUGGGGAGCAAACAGG
RNAcentral lists this ribosomal RNA (253 nucleotides) under uncultured bacterium. RNAcentral describes it as "partial 16S ribosomal RNA". It matches the Rfam family "Bacterial small subunit ribosomal RNA", at positions 524 to 776 of the family's 1533-position model. The record is from RNAcentral.